This is a long non-coding RNA of Alligator sinensis (Chinese alligator), 5717 nucleotides long. RefSeq lists it as uncharacterized. The transcript is spliced from 3 exons. NCBI's taxonomy places the organism in Eukaryota, Metazoa, Chordata, Crocodylia, Alligatoridae. The record is from RefSeq and is a predicted model, not a curated record.
CAUGGAAACAGCCUGCCCAAGAACUGAUGCAGUUUCCCCAUCACCAAAUUUGCGGACCCCUGGCGAGACCCACAGACCAGAUUUCCAUGGGUCCAUGGGCUGGGGGGUGGAUCCCCCUGCACUAGAUUAUUAUAAUAUAAUUAGAAUUUGGGUUGACAGACGUCUCAGAGUAUUCUGGUUACCGUAACUUCUUACUCAACAGAUCUCCUUGUUUAGUUGCAGGCUCUAAUGAAAAUGGUAUGUUUUUUCUAUUGUUAUGCCUUCAGAGUUGAUAUGAUUUUGAGCUAGAUUGUUUUCUUUGUAGAAAGGUGCAGCUGUCUUGCUCUGCAGACUUACCUGCUUAUGGAUCAUCAAUAAACAACUUGAUUAUGCCUUUCAGAGCUUAGAUUAAAUCUGAAGUCACUAUUUAGAGAAGAAAAAUCUUUUGUUGUUGUUGUCUUCUGUAUGCUAUUUACUUGUAUGUUACUCAGAAUUGAUCUAGAAUCAGUAGGGAUGUUUUAAGCUUGUAAUGCUAUUUUUAGAGUUACUUUUCAGUGUAAAACACACUUUAAAAGAACUCUGAGAAAUAUGGCUUCCUAAUAAUCGCAGAAAAAAUUUCAUGAUUACUGCUAUGUAAAUCAGUUAAAUCAACAUAAUUUGCUUUAUAAAAACAUUUUAUAAAUAAUUAUGAAAUACUGAAUUUUUAAAAGAAAUAUUAGUGUUCAACAAUAUGAUUCUUCCUAAACAUCACACUAGAGCACAAGUAGAAAAUUAACAAUAAAUUAUAUAACUGAUCUUGAAAUAUCUAUAUUUGUGAUUACUUUUAAUAUUCUGAUUUUUUUUAAAUUGAUCAUAUUGGGGAUUUCAGUUUUUUGACUUGAUAUUUGAUCAUAUCCAUUUGAUAUAAUAGUUAUGCAGCUUAUUACAAAUUGUUAUUUGGGAACCAUGGAGGUUAUACAGUAGACAAAGCUAUUUUUAAAAACUGUCCUUCUAUUUAAUAUUUCCUUUGUGUAUGUAUUGAGUGAAAACGUUAACUUUUUAAAGUUUAUUUACUACGUGGUCAUAUUUGAUUUGAAUAGAAUUUUGGACAGAAGAUUGUAAAGGUAACUAUGAACUUAGUCCUUUGCACUUGUUUAUUUACUUUGAAUACAACAUAAAGUUAGCUUGUUUUGGAUUUUCAAAGAAAAUAAUUAUAUAUAUUUUUUGUAGUCAGUGCUUUACUGAUUUUUAUUUUCAUAGUUAUUUGCUGUACGUAUAUCUUAGCUAUUUCUGUGAAGUGAGUAGGAAGAUCUGUGUGGUAUCUGAAAGUUUUGAGUCACAUUUUAAUCAUGCUGGCACAUGUAUUUAGUCUACAAAGCACAAGACUUCUUUUUACACAGGCAAGUGAUUUGUUUUUAGAUACUGUGGUAAAGUUUUUAGUAGUGCUUGGCUUUGAUUUUUUUUUUUUAAUGGAGAUGUCAAGCAAAAGGCUGAAAAUCUAGAAGAUUGCUUGCUGAUAGUUAAACAGAAACUAGAACUGAUUACAUGUAUUGUGGCUUUGCCAGCAGCAACUUUUUAAAGAGAAUUUUUCUUACCAGAGGAAAGUUUUUGGGGGGCAUUGAUUUGAAGCAUCUGUUUAAAGAAUAAUUGUCAUAACUUUUUAUUUAUGUAUUUUGAUGCAUAUAAUUAACAAAGAUUAUUAAUUUGCCUUAAAUAACAAAAUUUGUUUUUCCCUAGUCUAACCAAGUUUUACUUCAUCUUCAAAGCAAAUAGUUUGUUAAAUUACAGUUUUGCAGUUCCUAUGCAAAUCUGCAAUGCCACAAAAACAAGUUUGUGACUUCAUUCCUGGAUGAAGCAACAUUUUGGUUAUGAGAGAUUAAAAAAUGGAAAAUUAUUGCCAAGUUGCAGGGAAAGUUGGUACUACAUUUAACAGUCCAAAUUUCAUUGCAAGGAAGCUACAAACUUUUCUCACAAAUAGGUAUCCGUGCAUUCCAUUGGAGUUCGAUCCUCAGUGGGAAUCAGUGGCGGCCAGAUUUCACUUUUUCACUUUUCAGUGAGAUUUCCACAGGUGCAUCUGAGUGCAAAGUUAUUUGUAGGAUAACUGGCAGGUGUUUUUGAUUGUUUGGAAGUAAGUUACAAUAAUAUAUUGAAGCUGGACUUAUGCUUCUGUAGGUCAGUUUCAGAAGUAAGGGCUUGUUGCAGAUAGAAAUGUAGGUACCCAUUAAAUAUUUAUUUAACCUGUUGUAAUUACAACAGAUUAAAUGAUUAAUUGGUAUGGCAGCCCCUGGCCUGGCUGACACGGGGCUGCUUCAGCUUGGCUUAUGAGGUGCCUCUGCCCAGCCUGGCACCAAUGGAGUGCUUCCAGUUGCCCGAGGUGUGGUGGGGAUGCAGUAGCUCCCCAGGGCCCAGCCUCACGACAGACAGGGUGGGAGGCUGGGUCCUAUCCGAGCCCAGGUCUGGGCAGGGCACGCCAUGGGGCUGAGCCAUGGGCCCAGGGGAGUUGCCCUACACACUCUUGUUUCCACCUUGCUUUGCCAGGCCCAGUGGCAGCUGUAGCAAUAGAAGGCACUGCACUUGGCAUGGCGUGGUAGUGCUGGGCUCCAACCCGUAGCUCUUUGAAGUCAGACCGGGGUGGGGACACAUGGAUGGACAGAUUGAGCCCUGGGCCUGGGCCUGCGCCUGCCCUCCCCUACCAUGGAGGAGGGGUUGCACCCAGUUGCCCAGAGCAACGUGGGGAGCAGGGGGUCCAAAGAAGCCCUGCCUCAUAGGCAGCACAGCCCAGGAAACCAGCAAGGGCCGGCAGCCACUGGUGCUCAGCUUCCCAGGGCCAGCUGCAGCAGCCAGCAAGGGAGGGAGGAGCUGCCUGCCUCCCUUCCUGGCACCCUCCUGCACUGCUGCAGCUGACCCCAGGAAGCCAUGUGCUAGUGGCUGCAGACCCUUGCUUCCUGGGCUGUUCUGCCUGCUACAGAAUGUGGCUUGUAGACUCUGGCAAUGUAGACUUGCUUGUAGACUCCCUGUCACCUGCCAUAAACAGUCCAGGCUCAAGGCCAGGCCCCUGCCACAGGGUCUGUACAGCCUAACUAUUAGGUAUUAGUCAGCCCUCCAUCUUCCCCCUCCCCAUUCCUCCUCCUUGCUCCUCCCUCCCUCCCUCUGCAUGGCUUAGCUUUUAGGUAUUAGUCACCCCUCCCCCAUGCCACUCCUCCCUCCCUCUGCAUCGCCUAGCUUUUAGGUCUUAGUCACCUUUCCCUGUCCCCCCCCCCCCCUUGCCACCUCCUCUCUCCUUUUGUUCCCUCCUGCCCUGCCACCUUCUGGUUCCUGCUGGGGCACAGCGGGGCUUCCCUUCUAACCCUGCUUCCCUGUCAGACUGUGCCGGCCCCAGGCUAAGUGAUAACCAGUAAACUAGAAUCAGUUAUUGCUGAGCUGAUUGGUUAAACCAGGGGCAGGCAAAAUGGCGGAUCUGGCAAGCAGCCAGACUUCAUUUCCCAGCAGCCCCUACUCGCAUAUCUGUGGCCAGUUUCCAUGAAGAGCCCAGGAGUGGUGGGGCCAGGAUUUUGCAGUGGUGACAGCAUGGGUUGGAGCCAGGUCAAAGCCGAGAUCCACUGCUUGCGCGCCCUCCACGCAAAGUCCUGGCCCGAGAGCAGCUUCCUGCCCAGCCAUGUGCCCUGCUAGUGCUGUUUGAGCCAGUCUCUGUGGAAAACCUGCCCACUUGCAUGCCUUGCCAGUGCUGCUUGGGCUGGUCUCCAUGGAAGCCCUAGCCCCACACUGUCACAGUCCCACAGCUCAUGGGGUCUCCAUGGAAACUGGCUAUAGCAACAUGGGCAAGGGCUGCUGGGAAAUCAAGUCUACCACAGGCCAGAUCAGGCCCAUGGGCUGGACUUUGCCUGCGCCUGGGUUAAAUGAUUGAUUAAUCACAUCCCUAGAUAUAGGUGUGGUUGGUAAUUAAUUUGGGCUAAACUCAAUUUCUGUACACUUCACUAACUUGCAUUCAUACAUCACCAUUAUUAAUAUGUAUUAACUGGUAGGAAAGUAUCUUUUAUAUUGUUGUUUGAAAACAGGUCAUGGAUCCUUAACUCACAAGUGUACUGUCAUUCAUUUGUGCAGUUUUGGGUCCUGUGAGUGUCAUCCCAAAUGCCUUAGCAUCCCUCCAGGACCAACAUUUAUCUUUAUACAUAUUCUCUUUAUUGCUCUGUUGAUGGGUUGUCACUUUAUUACUUGAUUGUUGGCAUGCAGCUAGGUUAGGCCUUUUUACCAUUAGCUAGCAUAACUGUACUGUAAUGCUAUACAACUUCCCCAUCCUACCCACCCCAAGAUGUUCAGAAGUCUUGGAUUUCUUUGCCCUUUGUGGGAAAGAUGAAGGUUCAGGAAACUCCAGAGAAGAAAAAUUGCAACAAAGAUCAUUGCAGUAUUGCUAAAGGGAUGGCCAACUGGUAUCACAACCUGGAUGCCCUGUAAUUGCAGACCAGAAAUAAGAAUCUGAAAUUGUCUUAAAAGGAAGCUAACCAGAAAAACUGGACCCUAAGCAGUACUCCUGUUACCUGUGUAAGUACUGAGGAGCCAGACUGACGUUUGCUACUGUAUGCCACUUUUGAAUCAGUUUGGGGCAGACAGCACUAAGGCAACUGAGAACAGCAGGAGCUCUGGGUCUGACUUGAAGUCUGGUAAUGAAGACUUGCUUGAAAGCCAGGAUUUCUUUUAAAUGCAAGAUUUUAUGUGGAUGCUAAGCCCGUAAGAAAAUCAAGACAACACUGGUAAGCACACCAGCUUCCCAGGCCUGGAAAAGGGCACUUAGCCAAUUCAAAAUGGCAACUGCAACAUGAUGGCAGAGUGAAUCCUACCAUGCUCCUUCAAAACUUUUCUGCUGCUAUCAUCACCUACAGAGCUCCCUACCUUUCAUUCUUAAAUCUCUUUGCUAUAGCAGCAUUCUUCCUUCCCCUGUGGGCUCACAGAGUGACUGCAUGAAGGGUUGGAUUGAAAACCACAUUGCUACAAAUCUGCACCUGGGUAAUCAGGCCAUUAAUGCCUAACAUCUAGCAAAACCUGAGGGGGAAUGGAAGAGGAAGAAGCAUUUGAAUUCCUAGCAAGUGCAAGGGAGUGAAGCCUGGCAAGUCAGGAAGUACAGAAUAACUUUCAGGGCUGAGAGGGAGAAGGACAGAGGCACACCAGGACCUGGAACUGAAGUCUGCCGGUUGCUGUCUACAGUGAGUUUUGCAGUGGACAGGGAGGCAAUGGAAAAGAACAAGGAGAUAGAGACAGCUUUUGGAGAUCAUAAAAGUUUCUCUGGAAAACAUAUUCCAUCAGAGCUCCUCUAUUGGACCAGUACAACAGCCUCAAGCAAGUUGAACCAGAUCAUGGCUACAGAUUCUCAAGAAACCCACAAAUGUGACUGCGGAAGUGGUUUCUGUGAGCCUAUGUUUUGAGUGUUCCAAACCUAGAGGGUUUCUGCCAUUGUUUUUCAGCCUUCGUGAGUCCUGGAGAAUGACAAGGCCCUAAGCAGCCCAUGACUAUACCUUAAGGCUGAAAGCUGUGUGUACUUUCUUUGGGAUGGUUUGAACUGAUAAUUUUAAACAAGUACACUAUUUUUCCCUUUUUUUUAGUUGUAGUUUUACUGUAUGUACUUUUGCAGUUUCUCACAGCAAUAAUUAUAUGCUUUUGCACUUGAACUUUGUAGAAAUUGAGUAGUUUCAUUCAACUGUAAUUUUGAAAAUAAAAAUUGCAUAAGUUCUAUAAAAGUACAUGUUGAGCCAUGAAAAUUAAAUUUA